RNAcentral lists this unclassified non-coding RNA (253 nucleotides) under uncultured Gammaproteobacteria bacterium. RNAcentral's name for it is "contains 16S-23S intergenic spacer region". It matches the Rfam family "Bacterial small subunit ribosomal RNA", at positions 524 to 776 of the family's 1533-position model. Lineage: Bacteria; Pseudomonadati; Pseudomonadota; Gammaproteobacteria. The record is from RNAcentral.
UACGGAGGGUGCGAGCGUUAAUCGGAAUUACUGCGCGUAAAGCGCGGGUAGGUGGCUGGUUAAGUUGGAUGUGAAAGCCCCGGGCUCAACCUGGGAACUGCAUACGAUACUGGUCGGCUAGAGUAUGAGAGAGGGAGGUAGAAUUCCACGUGUAGCGGUGAAAUGCGUAGAUAUGUGGAGGAAUACCGGUGGCGAAGGCGGCCUCCUGGCUUAAUACUGACGCUGAGGUGCGAAAGCGUGGGGAGCAAACAGG